GUGCCAGCCGCCGCGGUAACACGUAGGAGACGAGCGUUAUCCGGAUUUACUGGGUGUAAAGCGCGUGCAGGCGGUUUGGAAAGUUGGAUGUGAAAGCUCCCGGCUUAACUGGGAGAGGUCGUUCAAAACUACCAGACUAGAGUACAGCAGAGGGGAGUGGAAUUCCGAGUGUAGCGGUAAAAUGCAUAGAUAUUCGGAAGAACACCAGUGGCGAAGGCGGCUCCCUGGGCUGAAACUGACGCUCAGACGCGAAAGCUAGGGUAGCGAACGGGAUUAGAUACCCCCGUAGUCC
This 292-nucleotide ribosomal RNA is filed under the name uncultured bacterium. RNAcentral describes it as "partial 16S ribosomal RNA". It matches the Rfam family "Bacterial small subunit ribosomal RNA", at positions 505 to 796 of the family's 1533-position model. The record is from RNAcentral.